Molecule: ribosomal RNA, 377 nt
Filed under: uncultured bacterium
Lineage: Bacteria
Description: bacterial SSU rRNA
Rfam family: Bacterial small subunit ribosomal RNA
Source: RNAcentral
UUGAUCAUGGCUCAGAUUGAACGCUGGCGGCAUGCCUUACACAUGCAAGUCGAACGGCAGCACGGAGCUUGCUCUGGUGGCGAGUGGCGAACGGGUGAGUAAAAUAUCGGAACGUACCCAGGAGUGGGGGAUAACGUAGCGAAAGUUACGCUAAUACCGCAUACGUCCUAAGGGAGAAAGUGGGGGAUCGCAAGACCUCAUGCUCAUGGAGCGGCCGAUAUCUGAUUAGCUAGUUGGUGGGGUAAAGGCCUACCAAGGCAACGAUCAGUAGCUGGUCUGAGAGGACGACCAGCCACACUGGAACUGAGACACGGUCCAGACUCCUACGGGAGGCAGCAGUGGGGAAUUUUGGACAAUGGGGGCAACCCUGAUCCAGC